This 388-nucleotide long non-coding RNA is filed under the name Elaeis guineensis (African oil palm). RNAcentral describes it as "long non-coding RNA (EGUI_LNC023275)". Lineage: Eukaryota; Viridiplantae; Streptophyta; Magnoliopsida; Arecales; Arecaceae. The record is from RNAcentral.
AGUUGUUGGACAUCCGUAGUGACAACCGGAUGUGAAGAACUGGGCUCUGCCAUUGGUGGUGGAGGUGGAAGAUCUUUCCAACAGGAAGACUGCCUGGUAGAGUCGGUAGAAUUAUUCUGAGCUCUUAUUUUUGCCAUAAAAUUAAAAUUUUUGCCCCCUCCUUAGCGUGCCAAUCUGUUGCGGCCAAUUCUCUGGAAUGUCUGAUGUCGGAAAGAGCGCCUGCAAAAGAAGUCUAUGGUGACUGAAGUUGUGUCCAGUGGGGAUCCUCUGAUAUUGAUAUGUCCUGAUGUUGUCAUUAGAAUACCAUGAUUAUCAAAUUAAAUUUGACUUCUAAAAAAAUUAAAAACAUGUAGAAAGUAAUGAGUUGGAUCGAAUCCACAGAGAAGAC